GAUCAUGGCUCAGGAUGAACGCUAGCUACAGGCUUAACACAUGCAAGUCGAGGGGCAGCAUUGGAGUAGCAAUACUUCAGAUGGCGACCGGCGCACGGGUGAGUAACACGUAUCCAACCUGCCGCUUACUCGGGGAUAGCCUUUCGAAAGAAAGAUUAAUACCCGAUGGUAUAAAGAGUUCGCAUGUUCUCUUUAUUAAAGAAUUUCGGUAAGCGAUGGGGAUGCGUUCCAUUAGAUAGUUGGCGGGGUAACGGCCCACCAAGUCUACGAUGGAUAGGGGUUCUGAGAGGAAGGUCCCCCACAUUGGAACUGAGACACGGUCCAAACUCCUACGGGAGGCAGCAAUGAGGAAUAUUGGUCAAUGGACGAGAGUCUGAACCAGCCAAAGUAGCGUGAAGGAUGACUGCCCUAUGGGUUGUAAACUUCUUUUAUAAGGGAAUAAAGUGAGGGACGUGUCCCUUUUUGUAUGUACCUUAUGAAUAAGGAUCGGCUAACUCCGUGCCAGCCGCGGC
RNAcentral lists this ribosomal RNA (512 nucleotides) under uncultured bacterium. RNAcentral describes it as "bacterial SSU rRNA". It matches the Rfam family "Bacterial small subunit ribosomal RNA", at positions 15 to 518 of the family's 1533-position model. The record is from RNAcentral.